AGCGAACGCUGGCGGCAGGCCUAACACAUGCAAGUCGAACGGAUCCUUCGGGAUUAGUGGCGGACGGGUGAGUAACACGUUGGAACGUGCCCUUUGGUUCGGAACAACUCAGGGAAACUUGAGCUAAUACCGGUUGUGCCCUUCUGGGGAAGGAUUUAUCGCCAUUGGAGCGGCCCGCGUCUGAUUAGCUAGUUGGUGAGGUAACGGCCCACCAAGGCGACGAUCAGUAGCUGGUCUGAGAGGAUGAUCAGCCACACUGGGACUGAGACACGGCCCAGACUACUACGGGAGGCAGCAGUGGGGAAUCUUGCGCAAUGGGCGAAAGCCUGACGCAGCCAUGACGCGUGAAUGAUGAAGGUCUUAGGAUUGUAAAAUUCUUUCAGCGGGGACGAUAAUGACGGUACCCGCAGAAGAAGCUCCGGCUAACUUCGUG
This 433-nucleotide ribosomal RNA is filed under the name uncultured bacterium. RNAcentral's name for it is "partial 16S ribosomal RNA". It matches the Rfam family "Bacterial small subunit ribosomal RNA", at positions 29 to 507 of the family's 1533-position model. The record is from RNAcentral.